This 231-nucleotide ribosomal RNA is filed under the name uncultured Prevotella sp. RNAcentral's name for it is "partial 16S ribosomal RNA". It matches the Rfam family "Bacterial small subunit ribosomal RNA", at positions 109 to 339 of the family's 1533-position model. Lineage: Bacteria; Pseudomonadati; Bacteroidota; Bacteroidia; Bacteroidales; Prevotellaceae. The record is from RNAcentral.
AGUAACGCGUAUCCAACCUGCCUCUGACUGAGGGAUAACCCGUCGAAAGUCGGCCUAAUACCUCAUGGCAUCGUCUGCGGGCAUCCAACGACGAUUAAAGAUUUCAUCGGUCAGGGAUGGGGAUGCGUCUGAUUAGCUUGUUGGCGGGGUAACGGCCCACCAAGGCUACGAUCAGUAGGGGUUCUGAGAGGAAGGUCCCCCACAUUGGAACUGAGACACGGUCCAAACUCC